GCCCAGGUGGCGGAAUUGGUAGACGCGCUAGCUUCAGGUGCUAGUGUUCUUUGGGACGUGGGAGUUCAAGUCUCCCCCUGGGCACCA
Molecule: transfer RNA, 87 nt
Filed under: Gammaproteobacteria bacterium
Lineage: Bacteria; Pseudomonadati; Pseudomonadota; Gammaproteobacteria
Also listed under: 3 other names
Description: tRNA-Leu
Rfam family: tRNA
About the family: Transfer RNA (tRNA) molecules are approximately 80 nucleotides in length.
Source: RNAcentral